GAUCAAAAAUUGAAGGCGGGCGGGCUGUCCCCCGCUUACAGUCUUGCUGAAUUAUUCUUCUUGUCCUUUGCGUGGCCCCUGUUUCCUUGGUGGAUUCGCCCCUAGGGCCACAAACCUACCCCUUUUGUAAUUGCAAUCGAUGACUAUAGCCUGUUAAUAAUUACAACUUUCAACAACGGAUCUCUUGGUUCUGGCAUCUAUGACCAACGUCGCUAAAUGCUAUAAGUAAUGGGAAUUGCAAAAGUCAGUGAAUCAUCGAAUCUUUGAACGCACAUUGCGCCCUUUGGUAUUCCAAAGGGCAUGCCUGUUCGAGCGUCAUUUGUACCCUCAAGCUUUGCUUGGUGUUGGGCGUCUUGUCUCUAGCUUUGCUGGAGACUCGCCUUAAAGUAAUUGGCAGCCGGACUACUGGUUUCGGAGCGCAGCACAGGUCGCACUCUCUAUCAUCAAAGGUCUAGCAUCCAUUAAGCCUUUUUUUUCAACUUUUGACCUCGGAUCAUGUAGGGAUACCCGCUGAACUUAAGCAUAUCAAUAAGCGGAGGAAUUGAAG
Molecule: ribosomal RNA, 547 nt
Filed under: Dothideomycetes sp. FL7
Lineage: Eukaryota; Fungi; Ascomycota; Dothideomycetes
Description: eukaryotic LSU rRNA
Rfam family: 5.8S ribosomal RNA (bases 165-318)
Source: RNAcentral